This is a long non-coding RNA of Macrobrachium nipponense, 858 nucleotides long. RefSeq lists it as uncharacterized. The record is from RefSeq and is a predicted model, not a curated record. The transcript has 5 exons. NCBI's taxonomy places the organism in Eukaryota, Metazoa, Arthropoda, Malacostraca, Decapoda, Palaemonidae.
UUGAGACACCCUCAGUAGCGAAGCUUUUAUUCAAACGUCUUUUCAUCUUCUAUAAUACCUAAUUGCCGUCUUCAUAAUCGAGACAAUUCAUAAUUAAUCGCAAUAAUUGAUAAAUUUCCAAGCUAACUGAUAAUUACUGUAAUAAUAUAACCUGUACUAUUGUUACGGAUGAUCACUGAUAAUCUGCUACAGAACAGGUUUCCUUCAGUAUCCUGUAAAUUUUCCUCAGUAACAUAUUCUAGAUAACCUGUACUACUGUUACGGAUGAUCUCUGAUCUGUGAAGGAACAAGCAUGGAUUCUUCAGAAUCAUGUUAAUUCUCCACAAUAACAUACUCUAGGUAACCUGUUUUGUUAUAAAUGAUCACUGAUAAUCUAUAAAGCAACACGUUUUCUUCGUAUUGAGUUAAUUUUCCUCAAUAACAUACUCUAGGUUUCCAAAAAUGAAUCUGUUAUUGUUAGGAGUGAUAUUGUGUGUUCAGACAUCUUUGUUGUAUGGAAAGAGCGCUAAGACGAAAGAAAUAGAAUUUAAUCAUGGCUCGAUUAUCGAAAGAACAGAAGACAUUUUUAUUGUAUCGAGUAAUAUAGUCAUAGAAGUGGAUAUGCAAGCCAUAUUUUUGCCUGAAGAUGACGUCCUUAACUUAAAGAAUGACCUGAUGAGGUUUACCAUUUCACUUAAGGAAAUGCACCAAGGUCAUUUUCAUGCUAACUCAGAGAUUUCGCUAGCUCAAACCCUAAGCGUCGCGGAAAUGUUAUCUUAUGACAUACAAAAUAAAACCGCUGAGGCAGAGGAACUUGCUCGUGACUUGCUGAUGUGGUCUGUGCGGCACAAUAAUCUCGAACGCCGCAACCCGCUUAUU